GACGAACCUUGCUAACGUUAUUCGGAAUUACUGGGCGUAAAGCGCACGUAGGCGGAUCUUUAAGUCAGGGGUGAAAUCCCGAGGCUCAACCUCGGAACUGCCUUUGAUACUGGGGAUAUCGAGUCCGGGAGAGGUGAGUGGAACUGCGAGUGUAGAGGUGAAAUUCGUAGAUAUUCGCAAGAACACCAGUGGCGAAGGCGGCUCACUGGCCCGGUACUGACGCUGAGGUGCGAAAGCUGGGGGAGCAAACAGG
This 253-nucleotide ribosomal RNA is filed under the name uncultured bacterium. RNAcentral describes it as "partial 16S ribosomal RNA". It matches the Rfam family "Bacterial small subunit ribosomal RNA", at positions 524 to 776 of the family's 1533-position model. The record is from RNAcentral.